Non-coding RNA from Oryctolagus cuniculus (rabbit), 10123 nucleotides. NCBI's taxonomy places the organism in Eukaryota, Metazoa, Chordata, Mammalia, Lagomorpha, Leporidae. The record is from RefSeq and is a predicted model, not a curated record.
GACGUGACGGGGAGGUUUCUGGAGAGACCGGUCGUCUCCCCGUCUUCCAGACGUCCUGGAAGGUCCUGGGUGGCUUUGUCUGGGUUUUAGCUAUUUCCCAGUGCCACUUGGGCUGUGAGAAUCUUCAUAUUUAUACUUUUAGUAAACUUAGUUCUGAUAGUUUUUAUCUGAAGGUUAAAUAAGUUCAAUUUCAUAUUAAUCAUAAAGUGGAAAGCCACUGGUGUUUGCCGUGAGUAAAAGCCAAGAAACCUGAGGCAUGAAAGCUGUGAAUUGCACAAGACCCUCAUUGAGCUCCAGAAGUGGCAGAUCCAGAAUCUGAACACAGAGGGAACUCCAGAGCCUGGACUUAGAGCCACUACACUCUUUUAAAGGCAAAUGAUACUUUGCCAAAGGAAGUACUCCAAGGCCCUGACAUUUGAAGUGCACUAAACUACUCCGUUCUGAACAUGCAGUUGAACAGAAAAGCCCCAAAGGCUGCAGGGAGAGGAUGGAAAUACCCAGGCACAUGUAAUUCUGCACAGUGGGCAGAGUCUUCUUCAUUUGAACCCUCUUCAGAAACAUGCCACCCUCAUCUUAAGGAAUGUGCGCACACUAGGAAGAUGGAGACUUCCUGACCGCGUUCCUCAGCAGUGGUAAGAGAGGAGACAGUUACCUCCUCAGCACGUAGAGCCCUUUCAAUGACCUAAGCUUCACAGCACAAUGCAACAGUCAAGGAGACUCCCAUGGAAAUGUCAAGAAGGCCGGCCGGCUGCCCACAGCUCAGCAGGACUCCAACAUCCCUCCGUGAUGAAAGGCUCAACUUCCUCAUCUUCCUAGGAACGUGAGCAUAAAGCUGCAAAUCCAAGUGACCACAGUCCUUCAAACACAUCAUUUUUGGAGGACUGUAUUUUUUCAGUGAUGCUGUCAUUGUUUGGAGAAUCCUUAGGAUACCAUUUUGGAACUAUACAUUUAUGGAGAAGGAAAAAUGCAGUAUCUUCGGUCUCUUAUUACUUUGUGAUCAUGUCUCGUUUUGACACAAAAUGAUCAACCUUCCUCAGUUAAUUAGAUAAUUGUUGGAGAGGAAGUCAAAUUCAUAUUCAAACAACAAACAAGUUUUGCCUUUGAAAAUGUUGCAAAGGUUGGGCAAUAGGCUUUUGAAUACCAAGAACAUUUUCAGUAAUGGCAACAUCAGUAGAAUAAGGAGUAAGAAAUCACAUCUUGGAUUUCAGCAGGACAUGCAAUCCUGCCCCAGAGCCACACCGAAUGUGAAGGAGGGGAGGAUGGACAUCCUCGUGUUACUGCCACUUGUAUAGCAGCACAGCUGAGCAUCGGGCUGCCAGGAGCUCAGACUGGGAGUUACAUCAAAACUUCACAAGGUGUAGUCCAAGUAACAGCCUUGGGACCCAAGGAAAAAUCACAUAUAGGCAGGUUAGAAGCAUGCAAGAAGUAGGAAUCCAGGCAGGUAGAAGCCAGAUCCUUCCCCUUCAAAAGGUCUUCCCGCAGACUAAUGAGCCUGGGGCCCCGGGAUGGGAAGAUAGAGUUCAGGUCAGGGCUUCUGGCCUCAGAUAAAAAUGCUGGGCUUUUUUUUUGUGGAAAGCCAGGCCCUCUCUGAGUCUGGAGGGGGUCCAGUGGCCAUUCCCAAGGCCAGGAGCUGUAUGAGUGUCCAGCGAUCUGAAACUCACUGGACAGUGUCUAAGGCUAAGACUCAUUUAUUGAAGGACCAAGACAUUCAGAACUCAUAACUUGCAACUAGGACAGAAGUGAAACUGAGCCUGUGGGUGAGGCAAGAAAUGUGGGGGAGCUGAGAUAUUUGGGAACACAGAUGAAAGAAAGGGAUGAAGACAGAGAUAAGAAGCAUAAAUAAGGUCUGCUUGGAUGCCCAUGACCUCUCUGAAGAGACCAGCACCCUGAUAUGUUUUUUCAGAAUAUCUGUCACUUUAAUCUAUUGGCAAAACUCACAUGGAAAAUGCUGUACUUCCUUUCCUCCUGAGCUUGUCACCCUUAAAAGGGUGCUUUGUAUUCCAUGGAUUCCUUGGAUUUGCCAGUCUUUUUUUUUUUUUUUUUAAUUUAGCUAACCAAUUUUAGUGGAGUUGAAACCAGACCGUGGUUUUCAAAGAGCAGAUAAACUGAGAGCAGACUAGAUUCUGACUUCCCCCACAUUCUGGUUUCAUUACGCUCUUGAAACCCAAAUCAAUUUUAUGAAAGAAAAAAAAAAAAAAGCUGAUAAAACUGGGCUUGAUUCUUAGCAAACCUGACCCAGUUAGAACCCAAAGUUGAAUGGAAUCCAGCUUUUAAUUUAGGGGGCUGUGCUAGCAGAAAUGAAACUAAAUGUGUAAGAACUGAAGAGAAGGAAAAAAUUAUUAUUAUGUGAUAAAUUUAUUAAUGCAAAUCUCUGAGCAAUGAGUGGACAGAUGGUAAGAAAAUAUUUCCAGGUCUAAAAACCCAGAAAUUACUCUAAGGUCAUAAUUCUAAAAUAACUCUUCUGAUUAAGUUCAAACUUUCCAAGAACAUUCAUCUUUUAUUUGAAAUGAACCAUGAGAAAUCUAAAACUAAAAGUCAUUGUAAACUGCUUGCAUGAGAAGAAUUAUAUUUUCACAAUGGAACUAUAGAGUAACCAUUGUCAAUUACUAACUACGAUAUUAAGGCAAGAGACAAAAUGUCAUUGGGUCCAAGAGAAAGAAGAAGAAACAGGAGAGUUAGGGGGAGGAGGAGUAAGGAGGUAGGGAAGAGAGUGAAGGAAGAAAGGAGAGAAUACAGUGAUUACACUGACUGAUUCUCAGAACAAGUACUUGUGACUAACAGGGUACUGGUAGCCUUAUUAUAAAUACCUCUCAGAUGUCUCAUUUUCCGUGGUAAGCAUCUCCCUUCUGGACCAGUCCCAGAGAGCUCUGUCUCCAGGGAAUCACAGAGUAGCUAAGUCAAUAUUUAAAACCAACUCUCACUGUUAUUCUCUCUCUAGGCCAGGAUUUCUCAACUUCAUAGCAAUUAACAAAUGGGGCCAAAAUGGGAUUAAACUUGAAAGAAUUUUGUUGGGGAAAAGUCUGUGAAAGAAGAUUGGGAGGCAGAUGGGGAAAGGUGGAACCAUCAGGUCAUGUUGCAAAUUGGACCUCCAAGUCAAGGAUGGAGGGGAGGAAGUUUGGGUGGAAGCAUUCUAGGCCCCAGUGCAGAAUGGAAGGUUUGGCAACUCUGUUGGGGUCCUUGAGCUGAAUGGGCCAUCUGGAACAGGCUUACUUUAAAAUUCCUACCCUACUCAGUCAUUGGCUGGGAGCAGCCCAUGGGAAGCAGAACUUCAGCAUGAAUAGGGUGCCAUAGGCUAAAUGGGCCCCCAAAUUUGUAUUUCAAAAUCUAAUUCCCAAUGUAUUUGGAGGCAGGGCUUUUGGGAGACUAUUAGGUCUUAAGGGCAAAGGCCUUAUAAAUGGGAUUAGUGCCCUAAUAAAUGGGGCCCCUGAGACUUCCUUUGCCCCUUCCACCAUAUGAGAACACAGCGGGGGAACUGGUCACCUAUGAAUCAGGAAAUGAGACCACACCAGAUACUAAGUCAGCCAGUGCUUUAAUCUUGAACCUCUGAGCCUCUAGAACUACAAGAAAUAAAUAUUCAGUAUUUAUAAACCACCCAAUCUGUUGCAUUUUGUUGGUGCAUCCAGAAGGGACUAAAACAGAGAAAUGAAUGUCACAGUGCAACAGCUUGUGCCUUUGGUCCGUUAUACUCCUUACAGUAGGAGAUCUGUGAGGCUCAUUCUCACGAAUGUCCCUUGUGCCAUGUGGAUCCACUUAUAGAUUCAAGCAGCUGCCUUUUCACAAUUCUGGUGGUUCUUUCUACCUAAAGGAAAACUCAGGAGAGGGAGGCUAAUGAAGUGAACAGCAGUCUCUGUCACAGUGAUUGUUCUCAUCCUCCUCUUCCUCCUCCACUGUCCAUUCUAAAUCCCUCACCCUCAUCCAUAGCUACCACUUCAGCAGGUUUUGGAGGCUUACCUGAUAGUUUGACCAAAACCAUAAUUUCUGAGGUCCGAGCCCUUGGUAAUUCAUACUUUUCACAGUCUUGAUUGAUAUCCAUGUUUGUUUACAAUUACAAAGGGGCAAGAAUACCAGGAAACACCCGAGUGGAUGACCUGUAUUCCUUGCUGUCCCCAUUGUGUAGAAGUAGCCCUACUUUACCUUGAUCAGAGUCAUAAUAGCAGUAACUAGAUCUAGCUUGCUAAGUGAAAGAUCAGACUACUGGGCCAAUAUGUCAUCUCCAUCCCUUCUGGUACAUUCACUGUCAAUGGCACUAGUUCUAGAGUGACCAGUGAUGAAGCCUGGCCAAUAUCAACUGACCAAAUAAUUGUAUUCAUUUGGUUGGUUAGUGCUUCUUCUACACUUGGCAGUUUCUGGUGAGCAUUAAUAUGACAUACAAAAUCUUUGCACUUUGUGCUCACUUCUAAAUGUCCAUCCAAAAGACUAUCCUAGACCUCCUUUUCUCUAAUAUUCCCAUCCUUUUCCUUCCAGAUCUUUGACCAAAUUGACAGCCAUUGGACACCUCCCAGGAUCCAUUUUCUCUCUCUCUUUUUUUAAAAUAUUUUAUUUAUUUAUUUGACAGGUAGAGUUACAGAUAGUGAGAGAGAGAGACAGAGACAGGUCUUCCCUCCGUUGGUUCACUCCCCAAAUGGCUGAAACGGCCAGAGCUGCUCCAAUCCGAAGCCAGGAACCAGGUACUUCCUCCUGGUCUCCCAUACGGGUGAAGGGGCCCAAGCACCUGGGCCAUCCUCCACUGCCUUCCCAGGCCACAGGAGUGAGCUGGAUUGGAAGAGGAACAACCAGGACUAGAACUGGCGCCCAUAUGGGAUGCCGGUGCCACAGGCGGAGGAUUAACCAAGUGAGCCACAGCGCCGGACCCCAUAUUCUCUUUUCAGGCUACCUCUUCUCCCUCUCCAAUGGAUGACUGUAUGCAUGACGCACAGCUCUGCCCAUCGGUAGGAUGUUUCCUCCCCUCUGUCCAGGACCACACAUGAAUGUGGAUAUAAUGCAACCACCAUCAACUUUCAACUUGUACCCAAGUGCGAAGCUGAGUCAGCUUUAAAGAAAAACACUUCUGGAUUUUCCUUCCUCAUCAGAGGAUUAUACUGAAAUAUCCGUUCAGCCAUAGGUCCAAAAGGGAGAGAGAGGGAGAGAGACACGUCUUCCAUCUCUGGUUCACUCCCCAGAUGGCCGCAACAGCUGAAACUGGGCUGAUCCAACCAGGUCUCACACACAGGUGCAGGGGCCCAAAGACUUGGGCCAUCUUCUACUGCUUUCCCAGGCCAUAGCAGAGAGCUGGAUCAGAAGAGGAGCAGCAAGGAUUUGAACUUGUGCCCAUAUGGGAUGCUGGCACUGCAGGCGGCAGCUUUACCCACUAUGCCAUGGUGCUUGCCCCAGCAACCCCUUUUUGAGAACUUUAAUGAUGACAUUGAUCUCCUCUCACUCCAAGGAGUUAUUACUCACUUAUGUACCAGUAAGUGUGAACUAGAAAGCAGCAUUGGAGUGGAAGACAUUACCCAAAAUGUUUAGGAGAGGAGACAGAAGGAAAGAUGGUCGUGAACAACACGUAUGAAAACAGGUGGUGUGGUUUCUGUCUCCUGACUUGAUCCUGGCAAAUACAGGUAGCAUCAUGGCACCACAGCAAACAGGUCUGCAAAUCCAGUGACCUGGUGGCUGUCCAGCAGAGUAUCCCGCAGAAAUGUCAAACUCAACAAUUCCCAAGACCGGACAUCUCGUCACAUGAGCCUACUGCUUCUGCUGUUUCCAGUUCCCAUUAUCUAAACUAGAAACUCAGAGUUAUCUCUGAUUCGUUCCUCUGUAUACACUCAAUCUAUGUUCCAUGAGUAGAGAUGACUAUGCUCUGUGCUUCCAGCACUUACUUGGUACUUACAGUACUUGGUUUAAAGCAAGUACUCAAGGGGCCCGUGCUGUGGCAUAGCGGGUAAAGGCACCACCUGCAGUGCCGGCACCCCAUAUGGGCACUGGUUCGAGUCCUGGCUGUUCCACUUACAAUUCAGCUCCCUGCUAUGGCCUUUAAAAAGUAAUGGAAGAUGGCCCAAGUGCUUGGGCCCGUGAACCCAUGUGAGAGACCUGGAAGAAGCUCCUGGCUCCUGGCUUCAGAUGGGCCCAGCUCCAGGUACUACAGCCAUUGGGAAGUGAACCAGCAGAUGGAAGAUUCUUUUUCUCUCCCUCUGUUUCUCUGUGCCUCUCUGUAACUCUGCCUUUCAAAUAACUAAAUAAAUUUUUUUAAAAAAAGCAGGUACUCAGUAACUACCAUAAAUGAAGGAUGAAUGCAUCCUUCAUCCCCCAAAUCUGAUCAGUUACCAAAUUCUAUUGAGUCUAUCCUUGAGUAACUUUUUCAACAUCCGUACAACAUGCCCCUCCCUCUCCCUCUCCCUCUCCCUCUGUCUCUCUUCCUCUCCCUCCCUCUCUCUCUCCAUACUUACCCUACAUAUCAGCCAUGCCAACAGAUCCUCACACCUUUGUGCCUGUACAUACAGUCUUGAUGUACACAACUUGCCCAUCCUUCAUCACUCAACUCAAGUUUUACCUCUGAAAAGAAGGCUGCCAGAGCCUCUUCCACGCAGAUCUUAGGCCAGGUUGGAUACUGCUCCUCCGGGCACCCAGACUGUAGGAGGGAUCGCACUACAGACUAAUGUCACUUUUCUCGUCUGAUGGCCUGCCACCACUGAGGCUAGACACUGUCCAUCAGCCAUCUCAGUGUUCACAGACUUUAGAGACAGGGGCUGGAAUCACAGACUUUGGAGUCAAAGAGUUGUGGGUUCAAAUUCUAGUUCUGCCUCUUAAGCUCUUUGAGCUUCAGUUUUCCUACCUCUCAAAUGGAGAGCAGGGUGGCAAUUAAAUAUACCUCACAGGUGGAAUUACUUUUUAGUAUAUAUUUUUAUUAAUAAAAAAAGAAUAGAUUUCAUGUAUUUCAAAGAUACAAUUCUAUAAGCGUAACGAUACUUCCUUCCCUCUCUCCUUUUCUUUUUUCUUUUAAUUUUUGUGAUAACAUAUGUUCAAUUUACUUUAUAAUCACAAGCUUAGUACUCCACUAAAUAUAGUGUUCACCAAGUAAAAAGUAGAAAGACCAGUGUUCCGCAGGUGUAUAGCCAAGGUCUAUAAUCAGAUCUCAAGAUGUUAACUUCACUCAUAUAAUCAGGAUUUGGUUUUAUUUUGGUACUCUGUGUAUCAGCUACCAAAAAUCAGAGAAAACAUAUAGAUGGUGGGGGGAGGCCGGUGCUGUGGCAUAGCAGGUAAAGUCACCACCUGCAGUGCCGGCAUCCCAUGUAGGUGCCAGUUCGAGACCUGGCUGCUCCACUUCCGAUCCAGCUCUCUGCUAUGGCCUGGGAAAGCAGUGGAAGAUGGUCCAAGUCCUUGGCCCCCUGCACGCGCAUGGGAGACCAGAAGAAGCUCCUGGCUCCUGGCUUUGGAUCGGUGCAGCCCCAGCUGUUGCAGCCAAUUGGAGUAUGAACCAGUGGGUGAAGACCUCUCUCCCUCUGCCUCUGCCUCUCUGUAACUCUGCCUUUCAAAUAAAUAAAUAAAUCUAAAAAAAAAAAAGACUAAACCAUUUAACUUUGAAAAAAAUAUGCAAUACUUUUCAAAAAGAAUUAUUUAUUUAUUUAUUUAUUUAUUUAUUUGAAAGGCAGAGUAACAGUGAAGCUUGGGAGAGAGAAUGAGAGACCUUUCAUCUACUUGUUCACUCCCCAAAUGGCCUCAACAGCAAGGCUGGGUUAAGCUGAAGCCAGGUGCCAGAGACUCCAUCAGGGUUUCCCACACAGGUACCUGGGCCCAAGUAUUUGGGCCAUGAUCUGCUACUUUCCCAGGCGCAUUAGCAGGGAACUGGAUCAGAAGCAGAGCAACUGGGAUUCAAAUCGGAGCUCCGAUACGGGAUGCUUGUGUCGAAAGAGGCGGUUUAACCUGCUGCACCAUAACAGCAGCCCACAAAGGAGGAAUUACUGCAUAAGGUAAUAAAUGCAAAGCACUUAGCACAGAGCUUAGUACACAACAGGGUCUUAGUAAAUAGCUAUGAAUCAAUCAAUUAAUGAAUUAAUUUAACAGUGCUGUGCGGUAAGUAUAUGGGGUAAUUUUCUUCUUCCUAAGCUUCCUGGGUCAGAACAGGCGAUGGUGGUGGGAAGAGGGGAUAUUGCAAUGACCCUCGAUGCAGUUGUUGCAACAGUGUUGGGCGAGGUGGAACUGCUGUCAGAAAUAGCUAGGCCAUUAUCAUCAGGCUUAGGCUGGGAGACUGCUCUCUAAGGGCAAAAUGGCCUGUACAGUACGGCUCAGGAAGUUCUAUUCCCUGCCUUCUCACUCCCCCUACCACAUCACUCUCUUCUCUCCUCACCACUAUGGCACGUGCCCUGUCCUCUGAGACUGCACCUCUGUGUAAAAGUGAAUUGGAAGCCAUGGGUGACAAAAUGACACAAUGCAAAUCUAGUGAAAUACGACACCUUUUUUCUCCUACAAAGUGACCCAGUUUUUAAUAAAAAAAAGAAGGUGUUUGUUAAAUUGAGUUAAGGUAGAAAUAUCCUCACAGUUGUGUUAAGGAUGAAAGCUCUGUGGUUUGGAUAUUUCUAGAAACUUAACCUCAAUGUGCAAAUUAGAAAUCAUCACAAAUGGAAAAUAUUCCGUUCCCACCCAGUACCAUAUCAUGCCAAUAAUGUAAGCUUCUGGAGACAAGGGCAGAGAAAAAGUCCUUUCAAGAAGACAUUUGGGUGAACUGAAACUCUAGUCCAGUAAACUUUAAACAAUUACAUUUGAAAUAACUCUUACAGUAUUGAGGAUUUUCAGAAGUAAGCAAAAAGGGGAUGAGAUAUCUGUUUGCUACCAUGGUUACUACUGUCAGUUUUCUGCGUGGUUUGGUUCGGUUCUGAAUCACUGGUGUGCAGCAAGGUUUUUAACCCCCUUUCUGGGGGCAAGAGCUGGUUCAGUCCACACCAUGGGCAGCUGUCAUUCCUCUGGCUGCCUGCCAUUUGAACCUCCUGCCUCUGUGGACAGUCGCCUCUAUUAGGAGUCUUCAUAGGAGGCGGAACCCAUUUUCCACCACAAAAGCUAACAUGCCAGAUACUACCUUUCCCAGCAUCCCUUGCAAGUAGUUACAGACACAGGAGCCGGGAUCCACCGAUCAGAAGCACCCAUUCUGGAAUCUGAAGCGGCCACUGGUGACCAAAGCAGCAGUGACUGUGAGACCCACUGUAGAGGUGGUGGCAGUUGCAGCAAAGCCAGAUCCUGUUUCUAUGGCAGUGGCAGCUGCAAUGCUGUGCCCAUCUGCACCUGGAGUGGUUAUUCUGUUGUGUCAACGGCAGGGUACAGCACCUGGCACGGACAGUGGGGGUGGCAUUGUCACCAAAGCCCUGUGCGGUGUAACUUGGGAUACUCGCCCUGCGACUGAAGCUCCAAGCCUGGUUCCCACACUCUCCUAGCAAUCUUAGGAGCACCCCAGGGUUCUUUUCAUGAAUAAGUGUGAAUCCGCUGGAGGCUGUGCUGCCUACCACUAGGAAUUCUGAUGGAUUCUGAGAGCCUAAGGGGAUUAACACAGGAAAAUUCAGAAAACUGGAGCCAGGCUGUUCCCACUUCAGAGAAGUCUAGGGCCAGUAGUGACACCCCCUCCUCACCCAACCCCCACCACCACCAUCAGAGAGCGGGCUGUGUAUGGGGGACUUGAAACACCUCUGUUGCCAGACGAAGCAGUGGGAGCCAAGUGAAUGGUUAGGAUGUGUGGGUGCGUACAUCCACGUGCUAAGUGAAGCACAAAAGCAGACAGAUGAAGCCAUGCUCCGCGCCAUCCUGAACAUGGACGAGUCAAGGGAAAGCAAGCAACAGGCACCCAGAAGUGGGGAUGUUUGAAGCCACAGAUUGAAAAUCCACGAUCCCCUGGGUCUUUCUCUCAGUCUGUUUUGAGUAAGGCUCCCAUUUCUGUCCAUAGAACUCCACGGAUGUUCAAAUAAGUGGUUUAUACUAUUUACUUUUAAGAAAUUAAUUCAACAGAAUUUUAACAAAGAGAUGUCACCUACAGAGUACAAGCGUAGUUGGUUAGUAUCCGUAUGUGAAUUAAAUGCAAGCCUCAGUAUCUGUAUAUUUACAAAAAUGUUGUUAUGUGCUCCAGUUAACUCCGUGUUACAUUCUUUUGCUGUUUCCUACAGCAUUUCAA